GGGGGCUUUGCAUAGAGACAUGUCCAGAUGUAAACCAGAUCCUUUUUUUCAACACCUGCUUCCUCCUUAACCACAAAUCCAUCUCCCCAUUUGGUCCUUGGCUUCACUAGUGGAUUGAAGGAAGUCCCACAAUUGCAUGUACACAGGAGCUUGGAAUCAUGAAGGAGAACUGUUUGGACACAUGUCUUAUACACCACAAACUUAACCUGCACUGAGGCUUUACUAUCAUUGAAGAGAGACAAGAAUCAUCAAAAUGCCUUAUGUCUUUUCUCAGCAUGAUCCUGAAGGAUAAUAUCCAAGCAAAAGCUGUUGACCACCACAACCCUCAGAUAUCGAUAUGAAUCAACAUUUAUUUGUCAGGGAGAGUGUUGAAGGAGUGGAAGGUGAUGAUUUUGAAUCCAAGAACAGCUCUUAGUGUACAAGGCAACCCCAGUAGAGGCUUGAAUUUGAGGACAAAACAAUGACCGUCGCACUUCAAACAAACACCAGGCCAGAAACAUGCACCUGGGGACAUGUAACUAGUGUUAAGCACUGGAUGAGUCACCAGGCAUGGGGGAAGCUGGGGGAGCAGAUGACAAAGGGCAGCUCAGGGGGUUGAUAAUUGAAAGUGAGGAGCAUGAGGGUCAGGAUCGCACUUUCAAAAAGGAGACUAAGUACUGCACAAGAGCCAUAUUCAAGUGCUACCUUUCAAAAUUCUUAAGACUCCAGGAGGUGGACUGGACAGUAAGGAGAAGGCAUGUAAUGCCAUCUCCCAAAUAAGUAAAGUUGGGGACCAUUGGUAGUCUGCAAUAGACUAUUAUGCAUUAUGCAUUCCAUUGACUGAGUAAAAGCAUCUCCUAGAAAAGUUCCCUCUGCUGUUGUAUUAGGCUCUGACUUCCAGAAGCAGUUGGAACUAGUUUUUACCCUGUUGGAGAACUGUUGCGGUGAAACAUGCCAGAGAGGCUCAGAAAUAUCAAUGUUCCUCAGUCCUGCAUUUGAGAUCAGUGGAGUUUGUGUAACAGAUUGCUACUCCUGGUGGCAUAGUAUAUCAACACACUUAAAUCACCUGUUCAGGUAGAUCUGGAUAAGUAACAUAGACAAUUAGAGCUUUUUCUUUGAUUAUGGAGUCUUAGGGUCGGUAGAAGAUAAGGGCAGUGGACAUUCUGUACCACCCCAGCUUUUCUUUUGGUAAAGUGCCCAUAGUACUACUCCUUCAACAAGCAUUGUACACUGUCAGAUACUUCCACAAUAGCCAAAGAGAAGUUCACGGUGCAUGAACACAGUGCAGUGAUUGCUUACACCACUGAACCUUCAUGGCAGUCAAAAUCAUGCACAGUUUAUUGCAUUGUAAAUGUUUGCGUUCUUUAAAAAGGUGAUGGAUCAUUGAUGGAACAACAUACAAAGAGAAGUUAUUGUGAUGGCAGCAAAAUGAAAAA
Callorhinchus milii (elephant shark) is the source of this 1415-nucleotide long non-coding RNA. RefSeq lists it as uncharacterized. Lineage: Eukaryota; Metazoa; Chordata; Chondrichthyes; Chimaeriformes; Callorhinchidae. The transcript has 2 exons. The record is from RefSeq and is a predicted model, not a curated record.